GGGCUCAUGGAUUCAAAGCUUCAGUCUAUAAUGGGCUGACUCUAUUUCUCUGGACCUAGAGUGAAUCAGAAUAUCUGGAUGGAAGUGCACUGUGGGGAAAAUCUGCUUACCUAAUGACGGCCAGGAAGCAUAGGGUGAGCAGGCAAAGCCAGGAACAAAAUAUAUAAUUCCUAGAGUAUGCCCCUAGUGACACACUUACUUUAAUCAGGCUCCAUGUGUCUAUGGUUACCAUCCAGUACAGUAUACUCUUAAAUUAUCAAACCAUCAACUGCAUUAAUGCACUGAUUAGGUUAUAGUUUUUAUAAUCUAACAAUUUUACCUCUUAGUAUUUCUGUAUUAACAGAGGAUUCUUUGGAGCACAAACUAUAUCUAAACCAUAAUACUCCUUUUCUAACCCUCCUAAUGCUAAUUUGCAUCAUAAUAAGGCAAAACAUUUUGCCCACCUUCAAGAGUCCCCACAGUAAGAAUACUUCCAGGAUUGCCCAAAAGUUUAGGUUCAAAGCAUAUUUGGAGACUGGAGGUGAAUUCUUGGCCAUGAGGCCUUUUAAAAAUCAAAAGCAAAAUAUACACAUCCAAUAUAUAAUGUCACAGUGUACAAAAUCCCACUCCAAAAGACAUGGAUAUAGACAUAGAAAAAAGGAAUGUGAUCAAAAUAAGACCUAAAUCCAGUGGGGGAAAACAUUAGGUCUAGUAGCACCAAAUCUAGCAUCUGGGGUACAUUGGCAAUGAAACGUGCUCUCGAAAGGACUCAGGUACCCCAUCCCUGUGACUUUGUUUGUUGCAGCUUAUAUGCCUCUCCCUUAGGCUGGCUUUGUCUGCAGCCAAUAGUUUUCAUUGGUACAUAUUCCAUGUGCCACGCUAAAUCUGGAACAACUCCACUGCAGCACUGUCUCCCUUCUCACACUUUCAUCUGUCAUACUUGCAAGAUUUUCACCCUGGUAUGUUUUUCCUGACCUUCAGGGUUUCUUUGGAAAUCUUGAUGGAAGCUCUAGGGACCUUUAACUCCAGCAUCCUGCAUUCCUUCAGAAAAGGAAGCCUAUCGGUGAGGCCAAGGUCUGUUUCCCAGCUUGUGCAGCAGUAGCUAUGUGUUCUUGGACCACAGCUGCAAAGGACUUUUGAAUGCCUGGGCAGUUGAGCAUGUUGAAACGAAUCCUGAGAUUCAUUUCAGCAUCCCUAUGCAGUACAGUGCUCCAAAGGUCUUUUUUAUUUUUAUUUUUUCUCAUUUGUGAAGUAGUCAAUAUAUUUAUUUUUUGAACAAUUCUCAUGUUUAAAGGUAUUUCCACAUAAAAUUACAGUAUAUGUUUUCAGCAUACACAAACUAUGAAACACAUAUACAACAGAUAGAUUGAUAUAGAAAAUGUGGCAUAUAUACACAAUGGAGUAUUACUGGGCUCUUAAGAUGAAUUUAUGAUAUUUGCCAGUAAAUGGAUGGAUGUGGAAAUCAUCAAGCUAAGAGAAAUAAGACAGUCCCACAAAACCAAAGUCAAAUAUAUUUGCUAAUAGGUGGAAUAUAAUCCACAAUAAAUAGGGGAUAGAAAUUCAGUAGAUUAGAAAAAGAGAAAUUAAGGGAAGGUUAGGAAAAAGAAAGUGGAAUGAAUCUGACAAUUUUUUUUUGAGAGAGAGAGAGAAUUUUAAUAUUUUUAUUUUUAAGUUUUCAGUGGACACAACAUCUUUGUUUGUAUGUGGUGCUGAGGAUCAAACCCGGGCUGCACGCAUGCCAGGGAGCACGCUACCAC
RNAcentral lists this long non-coding RNA (1736 nucleotides) under Marmota monax (woodchuck). Lineage: Eukaryota; Metazoa; Chordata; Mammalia; Rodentia; Sciuridae. The record is from RNAcentral.